Molecule: ribosomal RNA, 406 nt
Filed under: uncultured bacterium
Lineage: Bacteria
Description: partial 16S ribosomal RNA
Rfam family: Bacterial small subunit ribosomal RNA
Source: RNAcentral
AUUGAACGCUGGCGGCAGGCCUAACACAUGCAAGUCGAGCGAGCGGCGGACGGGUGAGUAAUGUCUGGGAACCUGCCUGAUGGAGGGGGAUAACUACUGGCGACGGUCGCUAAUACCGCAUACCAUACGAUGUGCCCAGAUGGGAUUAGCUAGUGGGUGGGGUAACGGCUCACCUAGGCGACGAUCCCUAGCUGGUCUGAGAGGAUGACCAGCCACACUGGAACUGAGACACGGGCCAGACUCCUACGGGAGGCAGCAGUGGGGAAGAUUGCACAAUGGGCGAAAGCCUGAUGCAGCCAUGCCGCGUGUGUGAAGAAGGCCUGCGGGUUGUAAAGCACUUUCAGCGGGGAGGCGUUACCCGAAGAAGAAGCACCGGCUAACUCCGUGCCAGCAGCCGCGGUAAUUC